AAUGAAUAAUUGUGUAACACUUCAUGGAAGUUUGGUUAGAUCCCAAUACGGUCCCGCCACUGUAAACAGCAUUAGCUGGAGUCAGGUCUUUGAAGGUUAUUACUAUCUUAUUUAAGCUUUUUCGUGGAGAAAGAGGCUUAAAUUGU
RNAcentral lists this small RNA (146 nucleotides) under Streptococcus ratti. Lineage: Bacteria; Bacillati; Bacillota; Bacilli; Lactobacillales; Streptococcaceae. The record is from RNAcentral.